AGCGGCGGACUGGUGAGUAACGCGUGGGUAAUCUACCUUUGGCAUGGGGAUAGCCACUAGAAAUAGUGGGUAAUACCGAAUACGUUCCCUGGGGGGAGGUUUCAGGGAAGAAAGGGUGCUACGGCACCGGCCGGAGAUGAGCUCGCGUCCCAUUAGCUAGUUGGUGAGGUAACGGCCCACCAAGGCGAUGAUGGGUAGCCGGCCUGAGAGGGUGUACGGCCACACUGGGACUGAGAUACGGCCCAGACUCCUACGGGAGGCAGCAGCUAAGAAUAUUCCGCAAUGGACGAAAGUCUGACGGAGCGACGCCGCGUGGAUGAUGAAGGCCGAAAGGUUGUAAAGUCCUUUUGCUGGGGAAGAAUAAGUGUGGGAGGGAAUGCCCGCAUGAUGACAUGAACCGGCGAAUAAGCCCCGGCCAACUACGUGCCAGCAGCCGCGGUAACAC
Molecule: ribosomal RNA, 445 nt
Filed under: uncultured bacterium
Lineage: Bacteria
Description: bacterial SSU rRNA
Rfam family: Bacterial small subunit ribosomal RNA
Source: RNAcentral